This 253-nucleotide ribosomal RNA is filed under the name uncultured bacterium. RNAcentral's name for it is "partial 16S ribosomal RNA". It matches the Rfam family "Bacterial small subunit ribosomal RNA", at positions 524 to 776 of the family's 1533-position model. The record is from RNAcentral.
UACGUAGGGUGCGAGCGUUGUCCGGAAUUAUUGGGCGUAAAGGGCUCGUAGGCGGUUUGUUGCGUCGGCUGUGAAAUCCCGAGGCUCAACCUCGGGUCUGCAGUCGAUACGAGCAAACUAGAGUGUUGCAGGGUAGACUGGAAUUCCUGGUGUAGCGGUGAAAUGCGCAGAUAUCAGGAGGAACACCGGUGGCGAAGGCGGGUCUCUGGGCAACAACUGACGCUGAGGAGCGAAAGCGUGGGGAGCGAACAGG